This 24-nucleotide non-coding RNA is filed under the name Arabidopsis thaliana (thale cress). Lineage: Eukaryota; Viridiplantae; Streptophyta; Magnoliopsida; Brassicales; Brassicaceae. The record is from RNAcentral.
UCGCGUCUCUUUCCCCUUUUUCUC